GAGGUUAUAGCUCAGUAGUGGAGUGCAUGCCUAGCAUGCAUGAGGUCCUGGGUUCAAUCCCUAGUACCUGCA
RNAcentral lists this transfer RNA (72 nucleotides) under Camelus dromedarius (Arabian camel). It matches the Rfam family "tRNA". Rfam says of the family: Transfer RNA (tRNA) molecules are approximately 80 nucleotides in length. Their secondary structure includes four short double-helical elements and three loops (D, anti-codon, and T loops). Lineage: Eukaryota; Metazoa; Chordata; Mammalia; Artiodactyla; Camelidae. The record is from Rfam by way of RNAcentral. RNAcentral also lists the same sequence under 1 other name.